This 313-nucleotide small nuclear RNA is filed under the name Sorex araneus (European shrew). RNAcentral's name for it is "7SK RNA (ENSSARG00000017650.1)". It matches the Rfam family "7SK RNA". Rfam says of the family: 7SK was discovered as an abundant small nuclear RNA in the mid-70s but a possible function has only recently been suggested. Two independent studies have found that 7SK RNA binds the CDK9/cyclin T complex (known as elongation factor P-TEFb). Lineage: Eukaryota; Metazoa; Chordata; Mammalia; Eulipotyphla; Soricidae. The record is from RNAcentral.
GGAUAUGAGGGCGACCAAGCUGAGACAUCUGUCACACCACCAUUGUUUUCCAAGGUUCAUUUGGUUGAUCUGGCUGGCUAAAAAACUGUUCCCUUCCUCCCUCACUGUUCCAUGUGUGUCCUUCCUGAAGCUGCAUGCUUGUCUAUUCGGCUUCCCCGAAUAGACAAGGGCCAUUCUUCAGUACAGAGUAUGCAAGUAGCUGUGCUCCCCUACUAGAACCUUCAAAUAAGCUCUCAAGGUCCAAGGAGAAAUAAGACCAACUGGGAAACUAAAGCAGGAAGAGCAGAAUUCUGGAUGACAUCACCAAAUAUUU